RNAcentral lists this ribosomal RNA (470 nucleotides) under uncultured Thiobacillus sp. RNAcentral's name for it is "bacterial SSU rRNA". It matches the Rfam family "Bacterial small subunit ribosomal RNA", at positions 908 to 1382 of the family's 1533-position model. The record is from RNAcentral. Lineage: Bacteria; Pseudomonadati; Pseudomonadota; Betaproteobacteria; Nitrosomonadales; Thiobacillaceae.
UAAAUUGACGGGGACCCGCACAAGCGGUGGAUGAUGUGGAUUAAUUCGAUGCAACGCGAAGAACCUUACUACCCUUGACAUGUCCGGAACUUGCCAGAGAUGGCUUGGUGCCCGAAAGGGAAUCGGAACACAGGUGCUGCACGGCUGUCGUCAGCUCGUGUCGUGAGAUGUUGGGUUAAGUCCCGCAACGAGCGCAACCCUUAUCAUUAGUUGCUACGCAAGGGCACUCUAAUGAGACUGCCGGUGACAAACCGGAGGAAGUGGGGAUGACGUCAAGUCCUCAUGGCCCUUAUGGGUAGGGCUUCACACGUCAUACAAUGGUCGGUACAGAGGGUUGCCAAGCCGCGAGGCGGAGCCAAUCCCACAAAGCCGAUCGUAGUCCGGAUUGUUCUCUGCAACUCGAGAGCAUGAAGUCGGAAUCGCUAGUAAUCGCAGGUCAGCAUACUGCGGUGAAUACGUUCCCGGGUCUU